GUAUUUCACUCCUCUGUGCUCUCUAUACUUCUGUCAUCACACUUCAACUUUCAUCUACCUCUACUUGUAUGGGUAUAUAGUUUAACAUUUUUCUUCUCUAUAGCUUGCUAGUAUGAUCUAUGGGUAUUAGUUGAUGUCAUUUAUAUAUCUCAUCAAUGUUAUCGUUGUUUCACUUUGAUUACUUUAUAACUAACUAGCAUUAUUUCCUUAUUUACACACUCACAUGCAUCACAUAUAGUAGGUAUAAAGGGACCACAUACGAAUUUCCUGAAGACGACGUAGGUGUGGUUGUGAUUUUUCUUGGCCGAAGCCGAAUGCAGCUGGUUUAAUUGAUUUGUUUAUUCUGUGAGGAUGGAUGGAUAUGACCACACACAUGUUCAUGUCCCCAAUAGUAUUAUUCUAGUAAAACGGUCUAAAGUUUUCUCUUGUACCCACUUAAUAGUGUGAACAAUGAUUCCCCCAACACAUUCUGGGAAUGUUAAUGUAAUAAAUUGAAUUCCAUUA
This is a non-coding RNA of Cajanus cajan (pigeon pea), 504 nucleotides long. The record is from RefSeq and is a predicted model, not a curated record. NCBI's taxonomy places the organism in Eukaryota, Viridiplantae, Streptophyta, Magnoliopsida, Fabales, Fabaceae.